AGAGUUUGAUCCUGGCUCAGAGCGAACGCUGGCGGCAGGCUUAACACAUGCAAGUCGAGCGGGCGUAGCAAUACGUCAGCGGCAGACGGGUGGGUAACGCGUGGGAACGUACCUUUUGGUUCGGAACAACACAGGGAAACUUGUGCUAAUACCGGAUAAGCCCUUACGGGGAAAGAUUUAUCGCCGAAAGAUCGGCCCGCGUCUGAUUAGCUAGUUGGUGAGGUAACGGCUCACCAAGGCGACGAUCAGUAGCUGGUCUGAGAGGAUGAUCAGCCACAUUGGGACUGAGACACGGCCCAAACUCCUACGGGAGGCAGCAGUGGGGAAUAUUGGACAAUGGGCGCAAGCCUGAUCCAGCCAUGCCGCGUGAGUGAUGAAGGCCCUAGGGUUGUAAAGCUCUUUUGUGCGGGAAGAUAAUGACGGUACCGCAAGAAUAAGCCCCGGCUAACUUCGUGCCAGCAGCCGCGGUAAUACGAAGGGGGCUAGCGUUGCUCGGAAUUACUGGGCGUAAAGCGCGCGUAGGCGGACCUGCAAGUCGGGG
This 541-nucleotide ribosomal RNA is filed under the name uncultured bacterium. Its description in RNAcentral is "bacterial SSU rRNA". It matches the Rfam family "Bacterial small subunit ribosomal RNA", at positions 8 to 593 of the family's 1533-position model. The record is from RNAcentral.